RNAcentral lists this ribosomal RNA (600 nucleotides) under uncultured bacterium. RNAcentral describes it as "bacterial SSU rRNA". The stretch from base 1 to 517 matches the Rfam family "Bacterial small subunit ribosomal RNA", at positions 338 to 873 of the family's 1533-position model. The record is from RNAcentral.
CCUACGGGAGGCAGCAGUGGGGAAUAUUGGACAAUGGGCGAAAGCCUGAUCCAGCAAUGCCGCGUGAGUGAUGAAGGCCUUAGGGUCGUAAAGCUCUUUUACCCGGGAUGAUAAUGACAGUACCGGGAGAAUAAGCCCCGGCUAACUCCGUGCCAGCAGCCGCGGUAAUACGGAGGGGGCUAGCGUUGUUCGGAAUUACUGGGCGUAAAGCGUGCGUAGGCGGUUAUUCAAGUCAGAGGUGAAAGCCCGGGGCUCAACCCCGGAACGGCCUUUGAAACUAGGUAGCUAGAAUCUUGGAGAGGUCAGUGGAAUUCCGAGUGUAGAGGUGAAAUUCGUAGAUAUUCGGAAGAACACCAGUGGCGAAGGCGACUGACUGGACAAGUAUUGACGCUGAGGCACGAAAGCGUGGGGAGCAAACAGGAUUAGAUACCCUGGUAGUCCACGCCGUAAACGAUGAUAACUAGCUGUUCGGGUAACUUGGUAUCUGNGUGNGCAGCACGACAUAAGUUAUACCGUCCGUCGGGUAGGUACGGUCGUCGAGAUAAACUAACAAGAAGUAGACGCGNGAGACGNGCCGACGACGACGACGAGGGAGGUAGG